GAUGAACGCUGGCGGCGUGCCUAAUACAUGCAAGUCGAGCGAACGGACGCGAAUCUUGCGUCUCGGAUGUUAGCGGAGGGCGGGAGUGUAACGCGUGUAUACCCUACCUAUAAGACUGGGAUAACUUCGGGAAACCGGCGCUAAUACCGGAUAAUAUUUUGAACCGCAUGGUUGAAUAGUGAAAGUCGGUCUUUCUGUCACUUAUAGAUGCAUCCGCGCUGCAUUAGCUAGUUGGUAAGGUAAAGGCUUACCAAGGCGACGAUGCGUAGCCGACGUGAUAGGGUGAUAGGCGACACGGGAACGGAGCCAGGGUCCAGAGGACUGCGGGAGGCAGCAGUAGGGAAUCGUACGCAAUGGUCGAAAGCCUGACGGAGCAACGCCGCGUGAGAGAUGAAGGUCUUCGGAGCGUAAAACCCUGUUAUUAGGGAAGAACAGAUUUGUAAGGAGCCGUGCACAGCGUGACGGUACCGAAUCAGAAAGCCACGGCUAACUACGUG
This 497-nucleotide ribosomal RNA is filed under the name uncultured bacterium. Its description in RNAcentral is "partial 16S ribosomal RNA". It matches the Rfam family "Bacterial small subunit ribosomal RNA", at positions 28 to 507 of the family's 1533-position model. The record is from RNAcentral.